RNAcentral lists this transfer RNA (69 nucleotides) under Chikila fulleri (Kuttal caecilian). RNAcentral's name for it is "tRNA-His". Lineage: Eukaryota; Metazoa; Chordata; Amphibia; Gymnophiona; Chikilidae. The record is from RNAcentral.
GUAAAUAUAGUUUAAUAAAAACAUUAAAUUGUGGUUUUAAAAAUAGAAAAUAACAAUUUCUUAUUUACC